GACGAACGCUGGCGGCGUGCCUAAUACAUGCAAGUAGAACGCAGUUGCGAACGGGUGAGUAACGCGUAGGUAACUGCCUCAUAGCGGGGGAUAACCAUUGGAAACGAUAGCUAAUACCGCAUACUGUGAGAUGGACCUGCGUUGUAUUAGCUUGUUGGUGAGGUUAAGGCUCGCCAAGGCGACGAUACAUAGCCGGCCUGGGAGGGUGAUCGGCCAAACUUGGAUUACGCUCCGGCCCAGACUCCUACGGGAGGCGACGGGAGGGAAGAUUCGGCAAUGGCCGGAAGUCUGAACGAGCAAGGUCGCGGGAGUGAGGAAGUUUUUCGGGUCGUAAAGCUCUGUUGUUAGAGAAGCGGUAACUAACCAAAAAGGGACGGCUAACUACGUGCCAGCAGCCGCGGUAAUAC
Molecule: ribosomal RNA, 407 nt
Filed under: uncultured bacterium
Lineage: Bacteria
Description: partial 16S ribosomal RNA
Rfam family: Bacterial small subunit ribosomal RNA
Source: RNAcentral